CGAACGCUGGCGGCAGGUCUUAACACAUGCAAGUCGAACGCCCCGCAAGGGGAGUGGCAGACGGGAGAGUAACACGUGGGAACGUACCCUUCAGUACGGAACAACCAAGGGAAACUUUGGCUAAUACCGUAUACGUCCGUAAGGAGAAAGAUUUAUCGCUGAAGGAUCGGCCCGCGUUCUGAUUAGCUAGUUGGUGAGGUAAUGGCUCACCAAGGCUACGAUCAGUAGCUGGUCUGAGAGGAUGAUCAGCCUCACUGGGACUGAGACACGGCCCAGACUCCUACGGGAGGCAGCAGUGGGGAAUAUUGGACAAUGGGCGAAAGCCUGAUCCAGCCAUGCCGCGUGUGUGAAGAAGGUCUUCGGAUUGUAAAGCACUUUAAGUUGGGAGGAAGGGCAUUAACCUAAUACGUUAGUGUUUUUGACGUUACCGACAGAAUAAGCACCGGCUAACUCUGUGCCAGCAGUCGCGGUAAUUUGAUGGCGCGAGGG
RNAcentral lists this ribosomal RNA (489 nucleotides) under uncultured bacterium. Its description in RNAcentral is "bacterial SSU rRNA". It matches the Rfam family "Bacterial small subunit ribosomal RNA", at positions 30 to 540 of the family's 1533-position model. The record is from RNAcentral.